UACGUAGGGUGCAAGCGUUGUCCGGAAUUAUUGGGCGUAAAGAGCUCGUAGGCGGUUUGUCGCGUCUGCUGUGAAAACUCGGGGCUUAACUCCGGGCCUGCAGUGGGUACGGGCAGACUAGAGUGCGGUAGGGGAGACUGGAAUUCCUGGUGUAGCGGUGAAAUGCGCAGAUAUCAGGAGGAACACCGAUGGCGAAGGCAGUGAUCUGGGCCAGUACUGACGCUGAGGAGCGAAAGCGUGGGUAGCAAACAGG
This 253-nucleotide ribosomal RNA is filed under the name uncultured bacterium. RNAcentral's name for it is "partial 16S ribosomal RNA". It matches the Rfam family "Bacterial small subunit ribosomal RNA", at positions 524 to 776 of the family's 1533-position model. The record is from RNAcentral.